This 305-nucleotide ribosomal RNA is filed under the name uncultured bacterium. Its description in RNAcentral is "bacterial SSU rRNA". It matches the Rfam family "Bacterial small subunit ribosomal RNA", at positions 335 to 634 of the family's 1533-position model. The record is from RNAcentral.
UGUCCUACGGGGGGCAGCAGUGGGGAAUCUUCCGCAAUGGGCGAAAGCCUGACGGAGCAACGCCGCGUGAUCGAAUGAAGGCCUUCGGGUUGUAAAGAUCUGUUGACAGGGACGAAUAAGCAAUGCGAAUAGUUUUGUGUAUGACGGUACCUGUUUAGAAAGCUCCGGCUAACUACGUGCCAGCAGCCGCGGUAAUACGUAGGGAGCAAGCGUUGUCCGGAAUUACUGGGCGUAAAGGGCGCGUAGGUGGGCGCUUAAGUCAGUGGUCAAAUUGAGGGGCUCAACCCCUUCCCGCCAUAGAAACU